CUACGGGUCGCUGCAGUGAGGAAUAUUGCACAAUGGGGGGAACCCUGAUGCAGCAACGCCGCGUGGAGGAUGACGCGUUUCGGUGUGUAAACUCCUUUUAUAUGUCAAGAAAAUGACGGUAGCAUAUGAAUAAGCACCGACUAACUCCGUGCCAGCAGCCGCGGUAAUACGGAGGGUGCAAGCGUUACUCGGAAUCACUGGGCGUAAAGGACGCGUAGGCGAGUUGGAAAGUCAGGUGUGAAAUCCUACAGCUUAACUGUAGAACUGCACUUGAAACUUCUAAUCUAGAGUAUGGGAGGGGGAGAUGGAAUUAGUGGUGUAGGGGUAAAAUCCGUAGAUAUCACUAGGAAUACCUAAAGCGAAGGCGAUCUCCUGGAACAUUACUGACGCUAAGGCGUGAAAGCGUGGGGAGCAAACAGGAUUAGAUACCCGGGUAGUC
This 439-nucleotide ribosomal RNA is filed under the name uncultured bacterium. RNAcentral's name for it is "partial 16S ribosomal RNA". It matches the Rfam family "Bacterial small subunit ribosomal RNA", at positions 339 to 795 of the family's 1533-position model. The record is from RNAcentral.